RNAcentral lists this ribosomal RNA (116 nucleotides) under Deltaproteobacteria bacterium. Lineage: Bacteria; Pseudomonadati; Myxococcota; Myxococcia. The record is from RNAcentral.
UCCGGUGACUAUGUCGUAGAGGAUCCACCCGUUCCCAUCCCGAACACGGAAGUUAAGCUCUACAGAGCCGAUGGUACUGCAUUUUAGGAGUGUGGGAGAGUAGGUCGUCGCCGGGA